RNAcentral lists this small RNA (94 nucleotides) under Flavobacterium cauense R2A-7. RNAcentral's name for it is "Flavo-1 RNA". It matches the Rfam family "Flavo-1 RNA". The record is from RNAcentral. Lineage: Bacteria; Pseudomonadati; Bacteroidota; Flavobacteriia; Flavobacteriales; Flavobacteriaceae.
GUCUAGCCCCGAUAGCAGCGGCAUCCUUUUUUGCUUCAACAGGAUUCCACCAAACGUGACAGCAAAAAAGAUAAAGCGGAUGGCGGGAUCAAGC